This 253-nucleotide ribosomal RNA is filed under the name uncultured bacterium. Its description in RNAcentral is "partial 16S ribosomal RNA". It matches the Rfam family "Bacterial small subunit ribosomal RNA", at positions 524 to 776 of the family's 1533-position model. The record is from RNAcentral.
UACGUAGGGGGCAAGCGUUGUCCGGAUUUAUUGGGCGUAAAGAGCGUGUAGGCGGUUUGGUAGGUCCGUUGUGAAAACUCGAGGCUCAACCUCGAGACGCCGAUGGAAACCAUCAGACUAGAGUCCGGAAGAGGAGAGUGGAAUUCCUGGUGUAGCGGUGAAAUGCGCAGAUAUCAGGAAGAACACCCGUGGCUAAGGCGGCUCUCCAGUACGGUACUGACGCUGAGACGCGAAAGCGUGGGGAGCGAACAGG